UAGGGAAUCUUCCGCAAUGGACGAAAGUCUGACGGAGCAAUGCCGCGUGAAUGAAGAAGGUCUUCGGAUCGUAAAAUUCUGUUGUUAGAGAAGAACAAGGAGUAACUAACUACUACUCCCUUGACGGUAUCUAACCAGAAAGCCACGGCUAACUACGUGCCAGCAGCCGCGGUAAUACGUAGGUGGCAAGCGUUGUCCGGAUUUAUUGGGCGUAAAGGGAGCGCAGGCGGUGACUUAAGUCUGAUGUGAAAGCCCACGGCUCAACCGUGGAAGGUCAUUGGAAACUGGGUCACUUGAAUAUAGAAGAGGAAAGUGGAAUUCCAUGUGUAGCGGUGAAAUGCGUAGAUAUAUGGAGGAACACCAGUGGCGAAGGCGACUUUCUGGUCUAUUAUUGACGCUGAGGCUCGAAAGCAUGGGUAGCAAACAGG
Molecule: ribosomal RNA, 428 nt
Filed under: uncultured bacterium
Lineage: Bacteria
Description: bacterial SSU rRNA
Rfam family: Bacterial small subunit ribosomal RNA
Source: RNAcentral